AACUCAGGGAACUUGCGGGUUUCUUCUUCGACGAUUCCUCGGUUCCAUUUAUUGUUCAUGAUCUCAACCCAGUUCUCAUCGGGAACCAUUGAUUUACCAUAUGAUAUCUCAGUUCCUACGGAGGUAACGAUAACAUCAGGAGUUAACAGUGGUCUCGCUUUCCUCAGUUUCUUGUACAUUGUUUUUGCUCUUCCCGUUGAGAAAACAAGAAGAGAGUCAUGGCGAUAAGCUUCCUCCCACAAUGAAUUGAACCUCAACAAAGAGUGAUUUUCAUUAUCGUUUCGAUGUUCAACCUGGAAAACACACACACACAAGAAGAUGGAAGGAAACGUGUACACGUAAAAUAAAAAUCGUUGCUCUUGAAAGAAGAAUCUUAGAUAUAAAAUACCAUUGUAUCAUCAAGAUCUGAGACUAUCAUGAGACGAGGAGGAGAUGUCAACCGCUCCAUGAGUUACAAAUCAAACGUCCUGAUCAAGAAUGAGAUCAGAGACAAACCUGAGGAAUGUAAAAGUAUGACUUUGGUUGUGAGAGAGAAGAGAGCAAGCGCAGAGCUGGGAAGAACAAGUCAAUCUUUUCCUAAACUCUUAUUUAAAUUUUUAUUUUGCUUUUCUUUCUUCCACUACAUAUUAUUUUGUUUCUUUUUCCUCCACGAAACAGUAAUUUGUUUUCCUAUUUUCCACAAAAUAUUAUUUUGUAUCUCUUCUCUAUUCCACGUUGUUACCUACUUAUUUACUUGAUAAAAUACUAGUUAAUUUAAAAAAAUUCAUUUGGCUAAUUGUCAGAGGCGAGUCUCAACCCAUUCCAAAUCCUAUCCAAGAAUCCGGUCUAAUAUCUCUAAGGCACAAGAGAAGAUAUUAAGCCUACGAAAGUUAUCAUGGCUUAUACCGAGCUAGGAAGAUGAUCCAUGCCGAGCUCCCGUAUUCAGUCCUGAACAUAACAUAGGACAAUAUAUUAAAAACAAUCAUAAAAGCACCUAAUACUCGUCAGAGAAGAAGAAUUCGGAUCAUAGUAUCCUUACGUUCUACCUCUGUCUAUCUAUAGAAGAAGAACCAAAAAAAAGAAGGGGGGGGGAUCCAAAUUCUUUGAUAGCAAACAUAUAGUCUAAAUGCUCUUGUACUUUCUUGUUAAUCGAUACCCUUUAUCUCUCUAUGGUUGUAUCUUCUCACAUAAUCAAUAAACAUACACUUUUUGUAAGCUCGAGUGUUUUAAGGAAACAAUAGAAGCCGGUGAGAUACGCAAAAGUUAUGGAGGAGCAAAUAAAGGAAGUGAAGAUUCGAUGAGUUGAGAGAUAUAUAAGGAAGUUAGUCCGUAGUGGUUGAGGUUAGGGAUUUAGAAAGAAAAGCAGCUAGCCGUAAAAGUACAAGGACUAGAGUUUUGUUAUAGCUUAGAGAUCAAGAAACGUGUGUGGUCUUGAUUGUGUUAUAGAAAUUGAUCAGUCGAGAUACACGUGUGUGUGAUCUCAUAAACCUGAUUGAACAAGCUUGUAAAGUUUGUUCAAGCGAUUUCUAAUAAAGUGUAUGUUGAAAGUGUUCUAACUUUGAGCUUAUCUAAGAUCUUGAUUCUACAAUUGGUAUUAGAGCGCGUCAACCUCUGCGAUACUAAAGAUCAAAUACAGGUUGAGGUAUUGGGAAAGAUAUGGAUAAGUCAGAAGAAGAAGCGAAUGAUAAUCAUAACAACAACGCUGAAAAAGACCACUACCAGAAGCUGCUGGACGAGUUAUCGUGUCUAAGCAAGGGAAACCUCAGAUUGCUAAAGGACAAGGCCGUAUUGAGGGCCCAGAUGAACAUCCUGGAAAUGGAGAAGUCACAGUUCAACGAGUCGCCCAAAAGAUCAAAGAAAGAUAAUCAACAUAUCUCUCGGGAGAGGAAGUUCCAAGAGGAUCCACUAGGGAAUGUCUACACUCCUGUAAGAAAAUCGAGACACAAAUCAUGUCGAGUGUGUGGAAAAUCAGGCCACAACAAAGAAACAUGUUAUCAAUGGGAUAGGAAAGUUCUUCGUGCAUGGAGAUCGGGAAGAUGUCACUUGAAAAGACAGAAAUUUGGAAAAGUCUAGAUACGCAAAGAUGACGUCUACUCGAUUCAAUUACAAUCAGAAAAGGGGGCAUGUCAGAUAUACAAGCUGAAUGCGCUCAUGUGGCAUACACUUCAAGUGAAGGAAGAAGAUCUGAUGACUGGUAUUUUGAUAGUGGGAGUUCUCGACGCAUGACAGGAAAUAAAGAUCUUCUAGGAGAGAUAUCUCCAAUCAAAGGAGGAAAAGUAAUAUUUGGUGAUGGUAUGCAAGGCAGAAUACAAGGAGUGGGACACACUGAAAAUAGUGAGGAACCACAUUUGACAAAUGUGUAUCUUGUGGACAGGCUGAAAGCCAAUCUGAUCAGCAUUUGUCAGUUGUGUGAUGAAGGACUCACUGUGAUUUUCACAAAAGUUGAUUGCAAAGCCUUGGAUGAGCGUAGAGACAUAAAACUUCAAGGAAUCAGAUCAGGGAACAACUGCUAUAUGUGGAAUGCAUCAAAUCAAUGUCUAGUCACGGUCAAGUCACAACUGGAUAUUUGGCACAGAAAGUUGGGACACAUGAGCACUCAUGGUCUGAGCAAAAUUGUGAACACCGGGGUAGUAAGAGGAAUUCCUAAGCUGGAGACAUCAACUGAACUUGACUGCAAAACUUGCUGCAAAGGAAAACAGGUAAAAGUUCAACACAAGCAGCUCUCAGAUAUCAGAACCACAAGGAUUAUCGAACUGGUUCACAUGGAUCUUAUGGGACCAGUCCAGACAGAGAGUAUCUCUGGCAAACGAUACAUCCUAGUUCUUGUAGAUGAUUUCUCUAGGUACACAUGGGUGAUGUUUCUACGCAACAAAUCCGUUGCUUUUGUAAGCUUUAAAAUUCUCGCCUUGCAACUGAAGUCAGAAAAUGAAGGAAUAUAUCAGAUCAGAAGUGAUCACGAAGGAGAAUUCCAAAAUGCAGCGUUUGACAAAUUCUGUCACGAGCAAGGGAUUAGGCAUUAGUAUUCAACUCCAUACACACCCCAACAAAACGGUGUGGUUGAAAGGAAAAAUCAAACUUUACAAGAGAUGGCCAGAUCGCCAUGUUGCAUGGGAACAACGUUUCCACAAGGUUUUGGGCAAAGGCUAUAAACACUGCAUGUUACACCAUCAAUCGUGUGUAUGUGAGGCCUGGAACCAAGAUGACUCCCUAUGAGAUAUGGAGAGGGAAACCUUCAAAUCUAAGCUACUUCCAUGUGUUUGGAUGCAUAUGCCACAUUCUGAACGAGACGGAUCAAAUUAGAAAAUUUGACUCAAGAAAUGAUGAAGGGAUCUUUCUUGGUUACUCUACCAACAACAUGACAUACAUAGUGUACAACAAGAGAACUUGCUAUUUGGGAGAUGUUGUAAAUGUUGUGUUCGAUGAUAAUCAAAGUUUACAUUUGGAACCAGUGGCUUCACAAAACGAGGAGAAUAGACAUACAAGCCAUGAGUCAAAAGCUGAAGAGGAUAGUGAUAAAGAUGAUGCAUUUGAAAGUGACACGGCCAAACUAGAGGAACCAUCCUCAACACAAGUACAUCGAAAUCACUCCCUGGAUGAUGUGACCAGAGACUUGAACGAAGGUAGGAAGACCAGAAAGAAACAGAUUAACUUUAAAGCCAUGGUAAAACUUGCAUGCUUCAUUUCGAAGAUCGAGCCAAAGACCAUAAGUGAGGCACUAGAUGAUUAGUUAUGGACCAACUCUAUGCAUGAGGAACUAGAACAGUUUACUAGACUGGACGUAUGGGAUUUAUGUCCAAAACCAGGAGGAGUGAAUGUUGUUGGAACCAAAUGGAUUUUCAAGAACGAAAUAGAUGAAGAUGAGAAUAUUGUUCGUAACAAGUCGAGACUUGUAGCUCAAGGUUAUUCAUAGAUUGAAGGUAUUGAUUUUGAUGAAAAAUUUGCUCAUGUGGCUCGGUUGGAAUCAAUACGACUACUGUUUGGAAUUGCAUGCAAACUGAGGAUCAAACUCUACCAAAUGGAUGUUAAAAGUGCUUUCCUGAAUGGUGUCUUGCAAGAGUAAGUGUAUGUAGCACAGACUAAGGGAUUCGAAGAUCCACGCACCCUCUUCACGUCUACAAACUAAAGAGAGCCCUACACGGCCUGAAGCAGACUCCGAGAGCGUGGUAUGAAUGUCUCACACUGUUCCUUCUAAAGGCGGGAUUCAAGAGAGGAAAUGUAGAUAAGACCUUAUUCAUUCUGAAUCAAGAAAAUGAUAUCUUGAUAGUUCAAAUCUAUGUUGAUGACAUCAUCUUUGGAGCCACAAAGCAGAGUAUGAUCGACAUGUUUGUGAAAACAAUGACAAAGGAGUUUGAAAUGAGCAUGGUCGGUGAAUUGAAAUACUUCCUUGGUCUACAAGUCAAACAAACGGAAGCUGGAAUUUUUGUUUCUCAAAGCACCUAUGCGAGAAAUCUGGUAAAGAGAUUUGAUCUAGAGACGAGUAAGAGUGCACGAACACCUAUGAGCACGACUGUUAAGCUGAGCAAGGAUGAAGACGGCACAAAAGUUGAUGAGAAAUUAUACAGAGCCAUGAUUGGAAGCCUACUGUAUCUCACAGCAAGUAGACAAGAUCUGUGUCUGAGUGUGGGGUUGUGUGCUAGGUAUCAAGCCAAUCGACGAACCUCCAAGCAGUGUAACGUAUCGUCAAAUACGUAAAGGGCACCUUAAACUAUGGUAUGAAUUAUACUGUGGAAACUAACUCAAACCUUGCUGGCUUUUGUGUUGCAGGUUGGGCUGGAUGCUUAGAUGAUCGAAAAAGCACAUCAGGAGGGUGUUUCUUCCUCGGUAAUAAUGUUAUAGCCUGGCAUAGAAAAGAAACAAAAUUGUGUAUCUUUGUCUACUGCUGAAGCUGAGUACAUUGUCCUGGGUAGCUGUUGCACUCAACUCCUGUGGAUGCGUCACAUGCUUGAUAAGUAUGGUAUCAACACACUCUUUUUUUUUGUGCAUUGUGAUAAUAAGAGUGCUAUAAACAUAUCAAAAAAUCAUGUUCAACAUUCUAGAACCAGACAUGUUGACAUUAGGCAUCACUUUGUUAGAGGACUAGUUGAGGAGAAACUUACAAUCAUAGAACACGUACCAUCUGAAAAAUAACUAGCUGACAUAUUUACUAAACCAUUGGACCUCAACACUUUCUUGCAUCUGCGAAAGGCGUUGGGGAUUUGUGAACAAUGAUGAACAAAGGUCUUAGAUUAUUUUCCUACUGUCAAAAUUAAUCCCAUCACUAUAGUCUUGCAUGUGUCUCCCUGUGGAAAAUGUCAACCUACUGUAGAUAGCUCUAGUAGUGUCAAAAACAAAUCUCGGGAAGAAAAACAUCCACAAUAGAUUAGGCUGCUAAAACAGUUUAUAUCUGAUGUGUUCAAUGUUUGGACUGAGGUAGAGUGAAAGGAAAACAUUGGACUUGUUACUACUCGUAAAGCCAAAUCUUGGACGAUUAAAUAUCGUUGUUGGGAGAGUUAGUAUAUAGUUAUGAAGAUGUUCCUGAAAUUCCAGAGAAGUGUUUGUGAAUGUUGAAGAGUAAUCCAACAUAUAUUUAAGAAAAAAAUGAGUGAACUAAAAAUGUUAGCUCUUGAUAUGAAUGCAUCUCAGAUGGGAAACGCAGUAUCAAUCUCAAGCCUUGUGCAAAAAUGAGAAAAACACUCUCUGGAACAGCAAUUAUCUUCUAAUGACUAAAUUUGUUUUUUUUUUUACAAAUUCAGGUGUUAAAAUUUGAAGUUGACAUAAAAAGGCUGCUAUAGGAGUCAUUACAUGAGAAAGGUAUGAAUGCGUCUUGGCUAAGAAAAGCAGUACUAUUUAAAAUGAGACUCAUCUGAGACUAUAGUAGUUGUGGUGAACGAGAGUCGGUUAGAAUGAUUCAUGUGUGUGACUAAGGUUCUCAAAUUCGUAAUCGUUUAAAGUUGGUAAGUAAAAUUGGUACAGUUUCUAUGGUUGUUGGGUUUCAUCUCACAAGUCAUCUAUAAAAAUGCUUAUGCUUGGACAGUUAGAGUGAUGGGGCGGUUGAGUGACUUCACCCUUAUUUUCUUCUAUCGGUUAUAGAGCUUCUCAUUAGGGUUUGACUGAUUUCUUCUCAUCUUGUCUCUCCUUUAGAUUAUCCAAAUCUGAUCUCUUUAUAUUCACUCGCCCCUCGGUCUCUCUCUAUGUAUUCUUCAAACUCCCUUCUUGCAUGUUUCUCUUUUGAUCUCUCAUGGCGAGUCGUGUCAUCAAUCUUUCCACUCCCGUGCCUUAUCUUUCUUUUCAAGAGCGUCUCCAAACAAACCAAGCAAUCUUCGCCGAUGAUGACUUUCCCGUCAGAUCUCCCUCGAGAAGGUACGAGAACAACCAUGAUGCUCUUAAGUACGAUGACCUGUGUCUACGAGGUUUCGUGGUUCACGCUGGUUCCUAAAGACUCAGACUUUGUUGAAGUCUUUAGGCUCCUCGAGAGGAUUGAAUGGGCAUAUACGGUCCUACAUGUUCGGCCUUUUGUCCUAGGAUAGUUAGAGAGUUGAUCUCGAACCUGUGUCAAUGUGCCGACGGUGUGCUGGUUCGUGGAACUCACUAUCGGUUUGAUCAUGAUGUGAUCAACGCCGUGAUGAUCACUCCGCAUGUUGAGCGAUCCUUCGACUGGGAGAACUGUGAUCUGAGCUUGGCGAUAUCAUCAGCUCUCAUGGGGUACCGUUGCUCGGGGUGGCCUGGAUUCACUCUUACUGCGCUCAUUGCUCUGUAUCAGGAAUUCUACCGUGUUUGCGAGUGAAACUGGCUUCCGGGGCAAGAUACUGACGCCAUGAUCAAACUUCGCAUCUGCUUGAUCUAUGCUCACGUCAAUCGCCGUCCUGUCAAUUUUGGUGAACUGGUGUAUGAUCAGAUUCUUGCGAUGGCUUGACAGUUUGAUCAGGAGAAGAAGAUAGUCUUCCCGAACCUUAUCUACCAGGUCAUGCAGUUUCAGAAGGAACUCCCUAUGAUUCCCGGAGAUGAAGUACCCAUUGGUGAAGGUGUCCACAUUUGGAGCUUGCCAGCAGACUCGCCAGUUCUCAACAACCGUGGACCAAGAGGAUGCAGAAGGAUCGAUGGGUGAUGUUUUUGUCGGAUCGUUCGCUCAUUCAGGGGGAGAUCUUGGUUGUGUGUGCUUGGCUUGUGUGUUUAUGCUUUUCAAAACCUUUUAAUUCUCGGAUGCAUGGUUCAUUUUUUUACUUGUUGGACCAUUGUGAACAAUCUCGGCUUGUAAUGUUUAAGACUUUCUCGAAUGUUUAAUUAAUGCCUCUUGCUAGUCUGUGAGCAAUAUAUGUUGUGCUUGUGUUACUUGUGGAUAAUGGUUUUGCAGGUUCAUGAAUGAGUUGAUCGAUACACACAAAAGGGGGGAGAUUGUAUGCUCAAGUGUUUUAAGGAAACAAUAGAAGCUGGUGAGAUACGCAAACGAUAUGGAUGAGCAAAUAAAGGAAGUGAAGAUUCGAUGAGUUGAGAGAUAUAUAAGGAAGUUAGUCUGUAGUGGUUGAGGCUAGGGAUUUAGAAAGAAAAGCAGCUAGCCGUAAAAGUACAAGGACUAGAGUUUCUUUAUAGCUUAGAGAUCAAGAACUGUGUCUGGUCUUGAUUGUGUUAUAUAAAUUGAUCACUCGAGAUACAUGUGUGUGUAAUCUCUUAAACCUGAUUGAACAAGGCUUGUAAAGUUUGUUCAAACGAUUUCUAAUAAAGUGUAUGUUGAAAGUGUUCUAACUUUGAGCUUAUCUAAGAUCUUGAUUCUACACUUUUCGUACUUAAUUUCUAGUGUAUAUAAUUUUCUCAAAAUUAUUCUUACUCAUAACAAUACUAAUAACAAAAAAACUUAAUUUAAUCGGGUGGUUAAGAUGAUUUUACUUGUGUUCGAAUGCGCGAAUUCGAGCCCAAAAAUAAUAAAUUUUUAGUUUUAAAGAGUUUAUCCAAAAUGACAUCAUUUUGAUAAACUAACCGUUGAUUAACACUUUUUACAGUUAAUAUAUAUAAGAGUUCAUGUAGUUUUUAAUUUUUAUUUAGUUCAUUCUAAAAUAGGCACUACUACAAAGUAUGUGAAGGAGAAGUCAUGACUCAUAAAAUUCAUGUUGAAAUAUUGAUAUUUAACUUAUAUUUAAAAUAUACCACUUCACCAUAAGGAAGGAUAAGUGCCUCAGGGUUAGGGCUGGGUAAAUAAACCGUAUCCAAAAAUAUGACCCAAACCCGACCCAAUGAAAAUGAAUAUGUACCAAACCGAAUCCGAGUAAAACUCAUAUAAUGAUUAGUGGGACUUAAUAACCAAUAUAAUCAUCAUAAAUAAAUAAAGGUUUUUGAAGAUAGUAAUAUAAAUAAAUAAAUAAAUAAAGGUAUAUACAUACUCCUUUAUAGAAUAUGUAACAAUUUUGCAUCAAUUUUUUUUUUGCGGUGUUAUAUUCCAAUUCAAAAAGUACAAAUUGGGAUUUUUUUUUUCAGUUCAAAUCAUACUAAAUUUCAGAGUUGGUGUUUUAACAUAUAUAUACGUUUUGAUAUUUGAAAUAUUCAGUUACGCAUUAUAUAUCAAGAACCCAUUUAGUAAUAUUUUUUUUAUUUAACUUCUGUUUAAGGUAUAUCAUCUCAUCGCUUUUUAAAGAAUGAUAAGUGGUAAAAGUUUAUAUAAAAUAGUCAAUAUAAAAUAGUCAAAGUUAUUUAUAUAUCAUAAUUAUAGGUUCAUAUAUGUCUUCCAAAUCCGUAAAUUAGGGUUUUAGUUUCCUAAUAUAAAAAAAAAUAAAAAUAAAAAUAUAAUAUUGAAUAUGCGUUUAAAUGACACAAUUCUUGAUUUGCUUGGUUGCUACUAAAACAAGUAGAUUAAAUAAUAAGCUAAAAGAGAAUGUGUUUGGAAGGGAAACCCUUAACCAAAUUUACAAACUUUUAAAGUUUAUUAUAAACCAAAUUGCAUGACAGGCCUAAUUUAAUUAUAUAAACGUCAGAUAAAAUGAAUAAAGGGAAAUAAAUUCAAUAUGAAUUAAUCAAUAAGCAUUUAUUAGCAUAUAUUCUCAUUCAGACAUGUGAGGGGUAUUUAUAGUGUGUGAACUGUGAAGCUAUAUACGUAUUUGACAUUACAUAUUUAAGCAAGAGGAAUAUGAUGCCGUAAAACGCAACAUGGUUAUUUGUUUAUUCGUAAUGAAUCAACUUUCUUUUAUUUUCAAAAAAAAUGAAUCAACUUUCUUUGUAUUAACAACUCAAUCCUUGCUUCGAUAACAGUAUAUAAAAUUUGGAAAAUUUGUUACGUUAAUAUUAUGUAAAUUUUACUUCAGAAAGAGACAGCAAGUCGUGAGGUGGAGAACAUGGAGGAAGUAAAUCAUUGCAAAUAUUCGUACGUAACGAGUUUACUUCAGUCGUCCCCAUGCAAAUUCUCAUGCACGCAAACUUUUCUUUAUAAACCAUUCCAAGUUCACGAUUUAGUCAUCAUCAUCAAAUUACCUAUCAACAAAAAGCAAAUUAAAUCAACUAAGAAAGAACUGAAGAAAGCAACCCAUAACAAUGCUCUUAACCAUGGAAAUUCCAAAAGCUCACUUCUCUUUGGCCAUUCUUGUCAUUCUCUUUGCGGUUUCAAGUAGCCAAAAUGUUGGCAACCCGGCCUGUAAGGCUAAAGAACCCUUCAACUGCGACAAUCCCCUUACAUUCAACCGAACUAGUUUUCCAAAGAACUUCACUUUUGGUGCGGCUACUUCCGCCUACCAGGUACAUAUCUCUUUGUUACUAACCGUUUUAAAAGAUAUAUAUAGCGAUCUGUUAAGAUUAUUUUUAUCUAUAUAAAACCCGGCCGGCAUGAUUUAUAUAUAUUUGUACCAGAUUGAAGGUGCAGCACAUAGAGCACUUAACGGAUGGGACUAUUACACUCAUAGAUAUCCAGGUCAUAAAAAUCAUUCAUUAAAAAAUUUCCCUUAUAAUUAAAUAGCAUGUAUGGGAAAUUAAGUGUACAAACAACGGAUGGGACGAUUUCACUCAUAGAAAUUUAAGUGUCCCGUUCAUGCUCAAAAUUCGGUUUGCUAUAUAUGUACAGAGAAAGUUCCAGAUCACAGUUCCGGAGACCUUGCUUGUGAUUCGUAUGAUCUUUACAAGGUGAGAAGCUAUCAUUGAUGAAUGUGUGUAUACAUGUAGUUUUUCGAUUUCAGAAACUCUCAUAUGAUUAACAGGAGGAUGUCAAAUUACUGAAAAGAAUGAAGGCUCAAGCCUACCGGCUCUCAAUAGCAUGGUCUAGGGUCUUACCAAGUAAGUGCAUAUGAUAAGAACAUAAUUUUAUUAAUGUUAGUAUUGAUAUUAUUGCUAUUAUAUUAUUAUUAUAUUUUUAACUAAUGUGAUUAUUGUAUAUAUGCUUACCUUUAGAGGGAAGAUUGAUAGGAGGGAUUGACGAAAACGGGAUCAAAUACUACAAUAACCUCAUCAAUGAGUUAAAAGCAAAUGGUAAAAAUGUUAUAAAAAUUUGUAUUCUUCGCAAUACAUAUAUGAGCAAAUUCUAAUUGUCUUAUGAAUAAAUGUGUGAAUUAAUAAAGGCAUAGAACCGUACGUAACAAUCUUUCACUGGGAUGUUCCCCAAACUCUAGAAGAUGAGUAUGGAGGUUUCUUGAGCCGGCGUAUAGUGUAAGUGCAUUAAAUAAAUUAUAUAUUACACCUGUUUUUCUUUGUGUUAGGUUAUGUUAUUUAUGUACAUCACAUCAGAUCUAUAUUUUAUCGAAUAUGUAUGAUACAUGGACAGGGAGGACUACAAAAACUAUGCCGAGCUUCUAUUCCAGAGGUUUGGAGACAGAGUCAAAUUUUGGAUCACUUUAAACCAACCUUACUCUCUUGCAAGCAAAGGUUAUGGAGAUGGAUCGUAUCCGCCUGGACGGUGCACUGGCUGUGAAUUUGGAGGAGAUUCUGGAACCGAACCUUAUAUAGUUGGACAUAACCAACUUCUGGCUCAUGCAAAAGUUGUAGCAUUAUACAGAAAAAGAUAUCAGGUUCAUAUACUUACCAAAUAUGUCAAUAAAUUUUUGCUUCCAAAAUUAUUUGUAUGUGGUAUAUGUAUCUUAUAAUCCAAAAAUAUCAAUGCAUGCAGAAAUUACAAGGUGGUAAGAUAGGAACGACCUUGAUCGGGAGAUGGUUCACCCCAUUAAACGAAAAUAGCAUUCGCGACACGGCUGCUGCAAAGCGAGCAUUUGAUUUCUUCGUCGGAUGGUAUAUUUAUAUAUAUACGUCAAUUAUUUGACUCUCACAUCUCAUGAAUAUACACGAGCAAACAUAUAUAUUUAUAUAUAAAGCUUUGGUUAUAAAUCCUUGAAAUUUGAAAAAUAUACUUGCAGUAUUUAAUUCAUAAUUUUUGUUCUAUAUAUAUGAAGGUUUUUGGAUCCACUGGUCUAUGGAAGAUAUCCAAAGAUAAUGCGACAGAUGGUGGGAAAUAGAUUGCCCAAAUUCACACCCCAAGAAUCAAAAUUAGUCAAAGGAUCACUUGAUUUUCUAGGGUUGAACUAUUACGUUACUCAAUAUGCGACCACCGCACCUCGUUCCACACAACCUAAUGUCAUAACCGAUGCAAGAGUUACUCUUGGAUGUAUGUAAAAAAUAUUGUGUUUCUUAUAUGUAUAUGUGUGUGUGUGUGGGUUUGUUAAACUCAUAUAAUUUUCUCUACUUUCCUACAGAUUAUCGCAACAAAGUACCUAUUGGUGUUCAGGUUAUCAUCAACUUUGAUUUAGAAUCAUUAUUUUUUUUAAAGAUCGUAGCAUUUUUUAAAUUUCAAUUCUUUUUUUUUUGUUCCCUUCUUGUGCAGGCGCCUAGCUUCGUCUACUACCCUCCAGGGAUCCGUCAGAUUCUAAACUAUAUCAAAAACAAUUACGGAAACCCACUUACCUACAUCACUGAAAAUGGUACUUACAUAUCUUCAUACCAAUACAUAUACGAUUAACCAAUGAAAACGUUAUAUAUAUCUUGUUAAAAUCUUGUGUUAAAUUUUCAGGAGUUGCUGAUCUUGAUACCGGAAACUUAACGCUGCCAGAUGCUCUUGCUGAUAAUGGACGAAUUCAAAAUCAUUGCAGCCAUCUUUCAUGUCUCAAAUGUUCUAUCGAGUGAGUUUUAAUGAUUCUUACUUAAUUUAUUUAACAUACUUUUGAGCAUUAUAAGUGUUAACAUUAUUUCAAAUAUAUUACAGUGAUGGAUGCAACGUAGCAGGGUAUUUUGCAUGGUCUUUGAUGGAUAACUACGAGUUCGGAAAUGGUUACACUCUCCGCUUUGGUAUGAAUUGGGUCAAUUUCACUAAUCCUGCUGAUCGAAGAGAAAAAGCUUCUGGCAAAUGGUUUUCUGAGUUCAUAAUCAAACAAUAAGAGGAAUCAAUAUAUUUAAACAAAUUAUGUGCAUCCAACCUAUUGAAUCUAAUAAUUACUCUACUCUAUGUAUUGUUUGUUUUAUUUUUAUUAUAAUUAAUUAAUAAAGCUUCGAUGAUGUGUAUGUGUUGCUAAUACAGUUGUAAUAACCAGGCCUUGAUGUUCGGUCAAUCAUAAAUAACGUGAAAAUUAUACAUAUGUAGGCUUUCUUCUUCUUCUUCUUUCUAUAUACUCUAGCCAACAAUUACUUGUCAACGUGCCGUCUUAACCAAUAUAAUAGUCCUAGACGAAACACAGAAUAUAUACCUUUUUAUAAAUAUUUUCUAUAUUUUGUUUUCACUACAUUUCUUUUAACUUGACUCUUAGACCUGAAACAAAUAGAAAACAAUAUCCCAAAACUAAUGAUGGAAGUACAAAUUUCUUCUUGUUUUGUUUUCUAAUUUACUUAAUUAUGAGUAUUUUUUGAUAACUUAUGGACCUUUAAAACAAUACAAAAAAAGAUUAUGAACCUAUGGACCCAUGGCAAAUGCCCAUGUUGCCAUGGGUAAGAGAUGGCACUGCUUGUCAAAAGCUUACAAUGUUGGACUUUUUGCAAGAUUGACUCAAAACUCAAACUCAAACCUAAAACUAACCCAUGCUUUUCUUGGAUUUUUCUUUUGUCCUAUUCACCCCACAAGUUCAUAUAAUUCACGAAAAUGCCAUCAAAAUUUUUUUCUUUCCGAAAAUGACAUUUUUACUCUCUCACCCUCAUCAUCUUCAAGUAAUUACAAGAUUGUCAUUGUCAUCAAUACCCCAACCACCAUGAACAACCAAUUUGAAUCUCUUAAUGCACCUAAAAUCGAUUUACACUCUCUCUUUCUCACUUGUUAUGAACUAAAAACAACAUCUCUUUCACUUUGCCUCCAUAUUCAUCCAAAAAACUCAAGCUUUUGAUUCAAUUUUUUUUUAUGGUUGAUAGAGCCAUUCAAGCAUACUAUUCUUGGUGGGUUACUUUCGUUUGAGAUUCUGGGUGGUUGGAAAAGACUCUGUGUGCUAAGGAAGUCAUCUCACUAGUUUAAGGUAUGAAAUUGAAAUUUUUUCCAGAUCUGUUCGUGUAGAAGACUUACCCGUAAGUAGUCUGGCUGUAGAAGACUUACGGGUAAGUCUUCUGGUCAAACGGACGACUUACUUUUAAGUCGUCAUCUUUGUUUGUUAAAAAAAAAUCUAGAGAAUACCCUAGACGACUUACUGAUAAGUCGUCUAGGAUAAAUGGGUUAGUUUUGCAUUUGACCGAAUUGUGUCAGAUAUUUGACUUUUCCUAGACGACUUACGAGUAAGUCGUCUCCGGGAAAACAAAAAUUUCAAUAUUUUAUUAAAUCUGGACGACUUAUCUGUAAGUCGUCUCAGGUUACUUUUGCAAUUGGAAAAUAAAACUUAAAUAUUUAACUUUUCCCAGACGACUUACGCGGAAGUCGUCAAGUAAGACGACUUACUUGAAAGUCGUCCAGGAUAAGCAAAGUCGUCCAGAUUUAUUUCCUAGAUUAUGGUCAAACCUUGCUUAUCUCGGACGACUUUCUCGUACGUCGUCUGCCUGGACGACUUUCAAGUAAGUCGUCUGGGUAAAGUUAAAUAUUUAAGUUUCUUUUUCGAAUUGCAAACUAACCUGAGAAGACUUACAAAUAAGUCGUCUAGCUUUAAUAAAAUAUUGAAAUUUUUGUUUUCCCUGAGACGACUUACUGGUAAGUCGUCCAGGAAAAGUCAAAUAUCUGAUACAAUUCGGUCAAAUGCAAAACUAACCCAUUUAUCCUAGACGACUUGGCAAGUCGUCUAGUUUUUUUUUUAACAAACAAAGCUGGACGACUUACUUGUAAGUCGUCCUAUUUAAAAUUCAAUUGCAAAAAUGACAUGUUUGGACGACUUACUGGUAAGUCUUCCAGACGACUUACUGGUAUGUCGUCUGCGUCAAUGUUUAGUAAACUUUCAUUUUCUCUAUGUUUACUAAUGUGUUUUAUUUUGAAUUUUUGUAGAUGAUGCGUCAGUUACAUGCAGUGUAUGGAGAAUGGUUGUUGAAAGAUUGCCGUUGGGAUUUUGUGGUUGAUAAUGUCAAAGGAGCGAGAAUCAUUUUUUUGGGGGAAGGUUCGACACAUGCUGAACUUCUUGCAAUGGCUCAAGAAGAUUAUAACCUGGACAUGAGCACAGAAUCUGUGGAGAUAACCUACUCAUUACCAGCAGAAAUGAUGCAGGCUCCAGACACCCCUCCUAUUCAUGUUACAAGUGAUAGACAAGUUCGAAACUUGCUCGAGAUAACCAAAACGCAUGGAGUACGACUUUGUGUAUCAAGCCGUAGCAAAGUGGAAACGGUUUCAGAGUUCAGGGAAGAAGAUGAUGAAGCUGAUGAAGCUGAUGAAUGUUUUGAAGAUGAUGAUGAUGAUUUGGUUGAAGAUGAAAAUCAUGAUGGGGAGGAGGAUGAUGGGGAGGAUGACGAUGGAGAGGAGGAUGCUGGUAUCUCUAUUGUUGCUGAAGCGGACGAGAAUGGUGAGGAUUACAAUGUUUAUGGAAAGUUUGAAGAUGAGGAUGAGGAAGAUGAUGAUAUGUGUUUUGAAGAUAUCAAAAAGAUUGAAGGAGGAAGAUCGAAUGGUAACAGUAUCUAUGUCAACCAGAGUUUUGUUAGCAAGGAUGCACUGCUUUCAGAGCUGCGGUUGACAGCAGUGAGGUUUAAGUUCUCCUUCAGAAUAUACAAGUCAACGAAAACUCUCCUUGUGACAACAUGUCCGGUUAGUGGUUGUCAAUGGAAGGUCAGAGCGAGUGUGAAACAUGGGACAAACACGUUUUGGGUAACAAAGUAUGUGGAAAAACAUACAUGCUCAGCGGGAGACCGACUCGCUCAGCGGAGACACUGUACUCCGAAGUAUGUUGGUAGGCUUUUCAUUGAUCGUGUUGGAAUCAUUGAUGGGUUGAAUCCGCAGCAUAUCACUGAUGCAAUGAAGAACAUGUUUGGCAUGACGCUUGAUUACACCACUUCAUACAGAGCACUUUUAUAUGCACAAACAUUGGUGAGAGGAUCAGCAGAAGAUGGGUAUUCGCGUCUGCCAUCAUAUCUCGAGCAAAUCUCCUUAGCAAAUCCCGAUUCUAUCACGGCUAUAGAACUUGAUUCUAUCAAUAGAUUUAAGUAUCUAUUUCUCUCUUUUGGAGCUUCUAUCAAAGGUUUUAAGUAUCAGAGAAGGGUCAUUGUGGUGGAUGGGACUCACCUAAGUGGGAAGUAUGGAGGUGUUAUGUUAGUUGCAGCCGCACAAGAUGGGAAUUUUCAGAUAUUUCCAUUGGCUUUUGGGAUCGUAGAUGCUGAAGAUGAACCUUCUUGGGAAUGGUUUUUCACAAAAUUGGCUAGUUGUGUAUCUGAUGAGCAGCCUCUGGUGAUAGUCUCUGACCGGCACGCGGCCAUUAAAAGUGCGUGUGAUAAGGUGUUUCCUUGGGCAACCCGAGGAAUAUGUUAUUAUCACCUUCAAGAUAACAUUGUCAAAAAGUAUAAAGGGAAACAUCUCUUGUACUUGGUGAAAGGUGCUGCUUAUGCUCAUACGGUUUCAGAUUUUGACCGGUACAUGGCUGAGAUACGGAGUGCAAACCCGGACCUUGCAACGUAUUUGGAGAAUGCCGACGUCAGCCUAUGGUCAAGGGUUUAUUGUCAGGGGGACAGGUACAACAUAAAGACAAGCAACAUCGCUGAAUCUAUUAAUUCCGCUCUGAAGCGAGCUAGAGGAUUUCCGGUUCAGUUCCUGUUGGAGUUCAUAAGGGAGAAGCUAGGAAAGUGGUUUUGGAAAAGGAGAGAAGAUGCUUUGAGUCUCCCAACUCAACAUAGUCGAGGUGUUGAAUACUUGCUUGCUGUUCGAUCGGAGAUAGCGGAUACGAUGACGGUACAACCAAUUGAUGGAUGGCGAUUCUUUGUGAAAGGUGGGAAAAUGGACUGUGUGGUUGAUUUGGAACAUGGAAAGUGUGAUUGUGGUGUCUAUGCAGUGGAGAAAAUACCUUGCUCUCAUGCUAUAGCUGCUGGAACAUCUGUUGGUUUGCAUAUCUCCACACUUGUAUGUCCAGUGUACUCAAAGGAUUUUCUGUUUGCAGGAUACUCAGAGAAUAUAUAUCCUUGUGUUGGACAACAAGUUGAGGAACGCACAUGCUUUCCUCCGGAUGUAAAGCGUGGUCCGGGAAGACAGAAGAAAUCAAGAUGACAAUCUUGGUUGGAGCUAUCCAGGAUGAGAGGACGCAAACCCCGGAAGCAACACAGGGCUUAUAGAUGCUCAAAAUGCAAGGAAACUGGCCAUACGAAACCACAAUGUAAGUCGUCCAGUGUUUAGUCUUCCAGAAGACCUUCAAUUAAGUCGUCCAGAAGGUCGUCCAGUUAGUCGUCCAGGGUUUUUUCUUCCAGAAGACCUUCAAGUUAGUCGUCCAGUGUUUAGUCUUCCAGAAGACCUUCAAUUAAGUCGUCCAGAAGGUCGUCCAGUUAGUCGUCCAGUGUUUAGUCUUCCAGAAGACCUUCAAUUAAGUCGUCCAGAAGGUCGUCCAGUUAGUCGUCCAGUGUUUAGUCUUCCAGAAGACCUUCAAUUAAGUCGUCCAGAAGGUCGUCCAGUUAGUCGUCCAGAGUUUUUUCUUCCAGAAGACCUUCAAGUUAGUCGUCCAGUGUUCAGUCUAUGUACUAAAAAUUUGUGUUAUGAACUUAUCUGUGUCAACUUCUUUGUCAAAUUGCACUACCAAACAAAUUUGAGAUGGUCUUGCCCUUUAUAUUAUCCGAAAUAUAGUUACAAAAGGUCACUGCUCAGAAGACUUUCCAGACUACUUAUAGUUAAGUCGUCCAGACGACUUAACUGUAAGUCUUCUGCGCAGAAUAUAGUUACAAAAUAGGGAUCAAGUUCAAAUACAAAAUAGGGAUCAAGUUCAAAUACACACAUCAGCCUAAUCUAUCAUACAAAAUCAUCUAAAGUGGCCUGUUUAUCACCCGUCAUACGUACCCAGGAUGUCAUCCAUGUCCUUGUUUUCGAACUCAUGCGCGUCAGGAAGCUCUUGAAAUAUAUCCACCGCCAUCUUAUCCCUCAUACUCUUCCCGUUGGCCUUAGCAAAGUCUUUUUUACUAAACUCUAUCCCAAGAGCAUGACAUUCAAUGUACUUUAGAGUGUACACGCCACAAUCACCAGCUCGGGCCGGAGGUAUAUUGGUCGGUCUCUCAUAUGUGAAUGGCUCCAGGCUGUAUUGGGCACGUUGUUCGUCUGAGGAAGCGCACUCAACAAGCAGAUAAGGGACCAUGUAGAGAAAAGGCUCCAUUACCACAUCGAGUUCUUCUGGGGAGAUACUGGAACAAAUGUUGUCAAAGACGACUAUGUGCCUCUUAGGGAUCGAUAUCCACAUAGCAAUCCAAUGAGUGUCGGCGUAGUUCACUGGCGCAUAGAUAUCAUCAAUAUCCGUCCCCCAAACCUUGUUCGAUUGGCAAAAUGAUGGUAUAGUGCCUGCAUGAUAAUUCCACGCCCCACCAGGGAGUCUUCUUCCUAAACCGUUCUGAUCGGGCUCCGAGUCCUUAAAAUCCUUGAAGUUGAAUCUCCAUUGCUGAGCAAAGAGAUGAUCAAGGAAGCACAUUCUCUCGCUCCUGAAAUGUUGUGGGUUAGCGUCGUACCUCUUCCUCAGCACAUUAAUCCAAGCAUCAAUAUGCUGCAUAUAAAAUAGGGUACAAGUCAGAAGAUAUCAGACGAGUUACUGGUAAGUCUUCUACGUAGACGACUUACCAGAAGACUUACUUGUAAUUCGUCUACGUAGAAGACUUACCAGACGACUUAUUGGUAAGUCGUCUACAAAGAAGACUUAUCAGUAAGUUAUCUAAGUCAUAGCAGAAGAUUUACACAGUCCUCCAGCCACUCUAAGGAGGUUCAGAGGAUUUGAAACCACCAAGUUCUACUUUUACGUGGUUUUUUAUCGAGAGGUGUUCUAUAAUGACUGCAAACACAAAAUGUUGAAAAGCAAUCAAUUUUUGUAGACUAAAGCAAGCUAUUAUGGGAAAAGCAAACACUUACGGACAAGAUUUCAACCAAUCAGCGAGCUCCUUCAACUUCUUCUUGUCAAUUGGUGCAAAAGGAUUAUAGCCUGGAUAAAGCUUUCUGUUUGAAAUGAUCACUCUGGCCGUGCUGUUUGCCGUAUAAGGAGAUUGCUGUGAGGCAGCAAGUUUCCUUGUUCGAUCACUCUUUGCACGGCAAAGUGAGUUUUUUCUUCCAGAAGACCUUCAAGUUAGUCGUCCAGUGUUUAGUCUUCCAGAAGACCUUCAAUUAAAUCGUCCAGAAGGUCGUCCAGUUAGUCGUCCAGUGUUUAGUCUUCCAGAAGACCUUCAAUUAAGUCGUCCAGAAGGUCGUCCAGUUAGUCGUCCAGGGUUUUUUCUUCCAGAAGACCUUCAAGUUAGUCGUCCAGUGUUUAAUCUUCCAGAAGACCUUCAAUUAAGUCAUCCAGAAGGUCGUCCAUUUAGUUGUCCAGGGUUUUUUCUUCCAGAAGACCUUCAAGUUAGUCGUCCAGUGUUCAGUCUAUGUACUAAAAAUUUGUGUUAUGAACUUAUCUGUGUCAACUUCUUUGUCAAAUUGCACUACCAAACAAAUUUGAGAUGGUCUUGCCCUUUAUAUUAUCCGAAAUAUAGUUACAAAAGGUCACUGCUCAGAAGACUUUCCAGACUACUUAUAGUUAAGUCGUCCAGACGACUUAACUGUAAGUCUUCUGCGCAGAAUAUAGUUACAAAAUAGGGAUCAAGUUCAAAUACAAAAUAGGGAUCAAGUUCAAAUACACACAUCAGCCUAAUCUAUCAUACAAAAUCAUCUAAAGUGGCCUGUUUAUCACCCGUCAUACGUACCCAGGAUGUCAUCCAUGUCCUUGUUUACGAACUCAUGCGCGUCAGGAAGCUCUUGAAAUAUAUCCACCGCCAUCUUAUCCCUCAUACUCUUCCCGUUGGCCUUAGCAAAGUCUUUUUUACUAAACUCUAUCCCAAGAGCAUGACAUUCAAUGUACUUUAGAGUGUACACGCCACAAUCACCAGCUCGGGCCGGAGGUAUAUUGGUCGGUCUCUCAUAUGUGAAUGGCUCCAGGCUGUAUUGGGCACGUUGUUCGUCUGAGGAAGCGCACUCAACAAGCAGAUAAGGGACCAUGUAGAGAAAAGGCUCCAUUACCACAUCGAGUUCUUCUGGGGAGAUACUGGAACAAAUGCUGUCAAAGACGACUAUGUUCCUCUUAGGGAUCGAUAUCCACAUAGCAAUCCAAUGAAUGUCGGCAAAGUUCACUGGCGCAUAGAUAUCAUCAAUAUCCGUCCCCCAAACCUUGUUCAAUUGGCAAAAUGAUGGUAUAGUGCCUGCAUAAUAAUUCCACGCCCCACCAGGGAGUCUUCUUCCUAAACCGUUCUGAUCGGGCUCCGAGUCCUUAAAAUCCUUGAAGUUGAAUCUCCAUUGCUGAGCAAAGAGAUGAUCAAGGAAGCACAUUCUCUCGCUCCUGAAAUGUUGUGGGUUAGCGUCGUACCUCUUCCUCAGCACAUUAAUCCAAGCAUCAAUAUGCUGCAUAUAAAAUAGAGUACAAGUCAGAAGAUAUCAGACGACUUAGUGGUAAGUCUUCUACGUAGACGACUUACCAGACGACUUACAAGUAAGUCGUAGACGAAUUAAGUCGUCUGAUAAGUCGUCUACGUAGAAGACUUACCAGACGACUUACAAGUAAGUCGUCUACGUCAUAGCAGAAGACUUACACAGUCCUCCAGCCACUCUAGGGAGGUUCGGAGGAUUUGAUACCACCAAGUUCUACUUUUACGUGGUUUUUUAUCGAGAGCUGUUCUAUAAUGACUGCAAACACAAAAUGUUGAAAAGCAAUCAGGUUUUAUGGGAAAAGCAAGCUAUUAUGUAAAAAGCAAGCUAUUAUGUGAAAAGCAAACACUUACGGACAAGAUUUCAACCACUCAGCGAGCUCCCUCAACUUAUUCUUGUCAAUUGGUGCAAAAGGAUUAUAGCCUGGAUAAAGCUUUCUGUUUGAAAUGAUCACUCUGGCCGUCCUGUUUGCCGUAUAAGGAGAUUUCUGUGAUCGGGCAAGUUUCCUUGUUCGAUCACUCUUUGCACGGCAAAGUGCCAAAGCAGCAUCCUUCUUUUCUAGAUAUCUAGCAUCCUCCUUCUGCAAAUCUGAAACAGUGGAUUGAUUUUUGUCCAAUAGAACAAGGCUCGGUUCUGGAGCUUUAUCUUCCGCGGAACUAGCAUCUGCGGGCACAGCUGCGGGCACAUCUGCGGGCACAUCUGCGGGCACAUCUGGACCUUUAUCCUCCGCCAAGCUCUUCCUUCCCGCGUUCGUCCCAUUAACACUUUCACUCUGCAAUAUACAAUAAUAACCAAAGAUCCAUUUCAAACAAUAAUAACCAAUGAGUGUUUUCAAACAAGAAACAAAAUACAUAUAUAAAAUCCAUACACUAUAAACAAAGCACACAUGUUCUGACAUACAAGAAACAAAGCAAAUGCAACUUUUCAGUUCUUAUUCUUAAGACUUUGUCUAGUCAAUCUCUUGUUGGGAGAGGAUUCGUUACUAACCCCGGGUUCGAGCGUCGGUUUAGGUGGAGGGGUAGUGUUUUGAGCUGAUGUCCCUUUCCGUUUUGUGGUGAUACCAACCUUCUUCUCCACAGCUUCCACCCUUUCCGACAGAUACUUGAUCUCCUUAAGGCACGUCCCAAACCCUUCCCUCAUGGCAUCAGCUAUGUCCUUGAACAUNNNNNNNNNNNNNNNNNNNNNNNNNNNNNNNNNNNNNNNNNNNNNNNNNNNNNNNNNNNNNNNNNNNNNNNNNNNNNNNNNNNNNNNNNNNNNNNNNNNNNNNNNNNNNNNNNNNNNNNNNNNNNNNNNNNNNNNNNNNNNNNNNNNNNNNNNNNNNNNNNNNNNNNNNNNNNNNNNNNNNNNNNNNNNNNNNNNNNNNNNNNNNNNNNNNNNNNNNNNNNNNNNNNNNNNNNNNNNNNNNNNNNNNNNNNNNNNNNNNNNNNNNNNNNNNNNNNNNNNNNNNNNNNNNNNNNNNNNNNNNNNNNNNNNNNNNNNNNNNNNNNNNNNNNNNNNNNNNNNNNNNNNNNNNNNNNNNNNNNNNNNNNNNNNNNNNNNNNNNNNNNNNNNNNNNNNNNNNNNNNNNNNNNNNNNNNNNNNNNNNNNNNNNNNNNNNNNNNNNNNNNNNNNNNNNNNNNNNNNNNNNNNNNNNNNNNNNNNNNNNNNNNNNNNNNNNNNNNNNNNNNNNNNNNNNNNNNNNNNNNNNNNNNNNNNNNNNNNNNNNNNNNNNNNNNNNNNNNNNNNNNNNNNNNNNNNNNNNNNNNNNNNNNNNNNNNNNNNNNNNNNNNNNNNNNNNNNNNNNNNNNNNNNNNNNNNNNNNNNNNNNNNNNNNNNNNNNNNNNNNNNNNNNNNNNNNNNNNNNNNNNNNNNNNNNNNNNNNNNNNNNNNNNNNNNNNNNNNNNNNNNNNNNNNNNNNNNNNNNNNNNNNNNNNNNNNNNNNNNNNNNNNNNNNNNNNNNNNNNNNNNNNNNNNNNNNNNNNNNNNNNNNNNNNNNNNNNNNNNNNNNNNNNNNNNNNNNNNNNNNNNNNNNNNNNNNNNNNNNNNNNNNNNNNNNNNNNNNNNNNNNNNNNNNNNNNNNNNNNNNNNNNNNNNNNNNNNNNNNNNNNNNNNNNNNNNNNNNNNNNNNNNNNNNNNNNNNNNNNNNNNNNNNNNNNNNNNNNNNNNNNNNNNNNNNNNNNNNNNNNNNNNNNNNNNNNNNNNNNNNNNNNNNNNNNNNNNNNNNNNNNNNNNNNNNNNNNNNNNNNNNNNNNNNNNNNNNNNNNNNNNNNNNNNNNNNNNNNNNNNNNNNNNNNNNNNNNNNNNNNNNNNNNNNNNNNNNNNNNNNNNNNNNNNNNNNNNNNNNNNNNNNNNNNNNNNNNNNNNNNNNNNNNNNNNNNNNNNNNNNNNNNNNNNNNNNNNNNNNNNNNNNNNNNNNNNNNNNNNNNNNNNNNNNNNNNNNNNNNNNNNNNNNNNNNNNNNNNNNNNNNNNNNNNNNNNNNNNNNNNNNNNNNNNNNNNNNNNNNNNNNNNNNNNNNNNNNNNNNNNNNNNNNNNNNNNNNNNNNNNNNNNNNNNNNNNNNNNNNNNNNNNNNNNNNNNNNNNNNNNNNNNNNNNNNNNNNNNNNNNNNNNNNNNNNNNNNNNNNNNNNNNNNNNNNNNNNNNNNGGCUUUAGGGUUUUUCUGAUUUUCGAUAAACAGUGAAAAAAAACACCUUAUAUAUGGCCGGUAAAUAAUCCGGUUAGGUUUAAAAGUACAUUGUAAAAUUAAAGGUUUGGUCCGGUUUGGACGACUUACUAGUAAGCCGUCUGUUGAAUACUGUACAUCAGACGACUUACUAGUAAGUCGUCCCAGACCCUAAAUUUAACCCCUAAACUAAAUUGACUAAAUUAACUAACUAACCACGUUCUAAAGCUCGUAGUUCUACUUAAAUAGUGUUUACUAUACACAAAAAUAAACACACUUAGGUAAAUUUUAAAUUUUUCAAGAAAACAUUUAUGCAUUCCAAAAUCUAACCCUAAGAACACAUACAAUACUACAACAUAUGUAGGCAAAACCUAAACUAAAAAAUAUCAUGACUCAUUACUUUCACUCAUCUAUGCUGAAAACAAUUAAAUUUUGUUAUAUCUUAAUUUAUAUCUCUUAAAACAUAUGUUAAUUACAUGAUUUCAAUUUUUCACUUAUCAAAAUAUUUUUUACAAAAUUUUUAAAUUAUUUCUAAGUAGAACUAGACCAGACGACUUACCAGGAUUAGAAACGUAAAAAAAUUUCGGUUUUUUUGUUUGAUCACAAGGAGCUGGUUGUAAUUUCAAUAGCAUUUUAGGUUAAUUUUGCAUUUUAUUCAAGUUUAGGUUUACUUUUGUGUUUGAAAUCAAGUUGUGAGUCAUAUUUGGCAAUUUUUCCUACAAUGUUCUCUAAUAUUUGAUAUUGUUAUUAAUUAUUACCACGCUGGCUUGUUUGAACAACAAAAGAGGAAAACCAGGGAUGUAUUAUACUUAAUGCCUAAUUAAUGGGAAAAGUCGAAUAAUUUUGUUUUGUUUGUAUAGUUCUCUACAAUUCUAGAUUAAAGACACCAAAAUAACAAACAAAAUUUUGACUACCCUCGAAAUUCAGACCUAGUUAUUAAACUAUUGUACCCACAAUUGUAUAAAUUAUGAGAAUUAAGUUUACCACUCUUUUUUCUCCACCAUCCUCAUUGUUCUUCAGUAUAUGAAUGGGUGUAAUGUACGACAAUUAUGAACUUGUGGGAAGUUAUAUGCUACGGUUCGGUAUGAAUUAGGUUAUCUUCACCAGUCCUGCUGAUAGAAAGGAGAAAAACUCCGGAAAUUGGUACUCUAAGUUUAUUGCUAGAGAACAAAUAGAUAAUGUCAACUACAUUUUUCCAACUCCGGAAAGCGAUACUAUUUACAUUGAAUGCUGUUUUAACUAUAGGGAUGCAAUUAGUGUUGUAAUGAUUAGUUGGACUUAAUACAUAAUAUAAUCAUUAUAAAUAAAUAAAGGCCUUUCAAGCCAGUAAUAUAAAUAAAUAAACGUAUAUACAUACUUCUUUAUAGAAUACAAGCAUAUCUCUAGUGAUUCUCUCUUUCGCCAUAUUUGCUACUCUAAAUUUAGAUAGUGUUUUUCUCUGCGUAUGUUUUGUGCGCUUGGAAGGUUAUUUAUGGUCUCAAGCUUAAGCUUUGGUUUCUCGAUGGUUGGCUUCCAUUCUCCCCCACUCAAGUUAUUUAUCUUCUUCUCAUGCAUCCCUUGGUGUAGGUGUGCGAAGUUAGUUUUUUGGAGCUUUGGUUUAUUCUAUUCAAAGUUUUGUGGAUCUUUAUCGGCAUAUGGGCGCUUUGUAUGUGCUUAUUUAGUUUGUGAGAUGCUUAUUAUCUCUUAGUUGGUGGUUGUGCUUCCGGUGCUUUAGACAUGCGUAUUUUUGUUUCGUGGUGACUUUAUUCUUCCGAUGAUUGUUCUUUCUCUGACACAUUUUUUUUGUUUAUUUGCGCUGGUGCUUGAUCGCGAUCCUUUGUGUUCAGGGGAUUGCUUUGUCUCAUAUUUUACCUUUUUCUGACAUUUGCUUGUUCUAACCAAGACAUUCUAUGGUAAGAUGAGAUAUGUUAGUCUUCUUUGUUGAUCUUUUUCAGCUCCAAACCUUUAUUGAGUUAGUGUUACUAUGGUAUUUUUUUUUUUUCUGUGACUGUGGAAACCGCUUAGUCCAGUGGUUCGACUAAAGAUUCAUUAAUGCUUCUACAGACGGCUUACUAGGUUAGUUUGUUUGGUCACAAGGGGCUGGCCGUAAUUUCAUAAGGCUUUUAGGUUAGUUUUGCAUUUGAUUCAAGAUUUGGAUAUAGUUUUGCAUUUAAAAUCAAGUUUUGAGUCAUAUUUGGCAAAUUUCCCUGUAUUUAUUAUAAAAUUCACAACAAUAUAUUAUCUAAAGUAAUUAUAUAAAAAAUCUAAUAGUAUAUAAAACUUUGAAAUCUAAAUAAUUCAUUAAAAUAUUAUUGAAUUUUUUUAAAUAUGAAUAUAAUAGUUAUGUUUAUAUUAAUUAUAAAAGAAUCUGUUGAGAAAAUAUAUAUAAAACUUACCAGAAUCCAAUAUAUUUAUAAAAUAAUGAAUUAGUUUAGUAAAUGGCUUUUUCAAAUGUCAUUUAAUCUUCCAAACUCAAAAUUUUUUCUAAAUUUCUCACGUCCAAAUAAACAUUUUUGGAAAUAAAUAUUCUAGAAUCAAAAUAAUAAUAUUCCAUAUUUUACAAAAGAUAAAAUCGUAUAUGUUAAAAUAUAAUUCUUUGAAAUGAAAAAAAAAAUUAUUAUGUAAAAUCAAAGGUAAUAUAAUAUUUUGAAAUCUUAAUUUAAUAAAAAAAUGAUAAAACGUAAUAUCAUAACAUCCAAAAAGUAUUUUAUAUUGACAUAAUUUAUUAAAGUAAUUUAUAUGAGAGAUGCUAUUAUGUUUAAAAUCUAUAAUAUAAUAGUUCAGUUUCUCUCCCCCUAAGCUGUCCACGUGUCAUCUUUGUGGGCCUCAUUUUUAGUUUUUUUUGUUUCAAACGUGUGGGCUUUAGUUUGUGAUCUCUCUUCAGUUCUUUUGUGGGCUUUCCCACAAAUCGGCCCGGAAAGCAUCAUUUAGGGUUAUGCACUUCACAUUUGAGAUUCUUCGUCGUCUGAGCCGUUUCCUAUUCGGAAGUUUCGUUUUUGUAGCUCGAUCUCUUCGACUCCUCCACGUUCUCUACCGACUUAGGGAUUUCUCUUCCUGUAACGGAUUCUCCAGCCUCCUUUAUAUAGAUUCAUCGAAGGUAAGCUCUCAUCUGCCUCUAAGCUUGUCUCCUCCACUUCUUACCAUCGUUUAAGCUCUAAACUCCGUUACGAAAAUGUCUUCAUCAGCUGCUUCAGUCGCUAACGCCGCCGUCGCCUACUCCACGUCCAACUCUCUUCGCCACGGAAGAGCCGCUCGGACCGUUGUCAGACCGUUGUCACUCUCCUCAUCUGCUUUUGGGAUUCUCGAAACAUCAACAAAAAUGGCGAAUUUAUGGGGAUAACAAUUCUCCUCCUCGAUGAAUUGGUGAGGAUUGAUUCGGCCCUAUUUCCUUGCAAUGAGAUUUUGUCUAUGAGAUUUUUCACAAAUUAUUAAUGAUCUUGACGUUUCAUAUUUCUUUGCUAUGAGAUUUUGUCUAUGAGAUUUUCUGUUUCUUUAGUUUUGUCUAUGAGAUUUUUUUCAUCAGUUAUUAAUGAUCUUCUUUUGACUCGGUGAUUCACGGUUUCAUUCCUGCAAAUCGGGCCAGCCAGUACCGACCAUCUUUGAAAGCUGGUUCUAUUUUGAGAUUGGACCGGUUUGAAGUUGCACGGGUCGCUCACAUGUAUAAGAUCACGGAGCAUCAGUUCUUGAUCCUUUUCAUCCCUUCAACCCGUAAAACUUUCAAAUAUUCUCCCUCUGGUUAAGGCCUAUUGUUAAAUCAGAAGUUAUCUUGUAAAGUACACAAGAAUCUCAUUCUUGUCAUCUUUGAGCAUCAACAAUCCAUAAGAACCCGUGUAGUAUAUAGAAGCCAGUUCUACAUUUACUUUGAAAUGUAGAACCAAGCAAGUUUCGUUGCUAAGCAUAAAAUUAAUAUUAACAGACGACAUGGUAGGACAGGAGGCAUGUGGUGUUCGGGCAAGUUAUAGAAGGAAUGGAUGUGGUGAGGCUCAUAGAGGAACAAGAGACAGACAGAGGAGACCGUCCCAGAAAGAAAGUGGUCAUUGCAGACUGUGGUCAACUUCCAAUGUCCAAAGCCUAAGUAACAUUUAAAACUCAAAACCUUGUGACAAUGAGAUGGAGCUGUGUUAUGUGCAGGGGCGGACGCAGUAAGGGUUGUGCGGGGUCACGUGCCCCCGUCUCAUUCUUAAUUUUCUUUGAGCAAUUAAAGUUAAUCAAAGCCAGUGCCCCCAUCUAACUAUAAAAUAUAGUGAAAAAAAUUUAUGUGCCCCCGGUUAAAUGCAGUUCUAGAUCCGCCACUGGUUAUGUGUCUGCAUUUUUACACGCUUUCUGGAAAUGGAUUUUAGUUCAUUUGUAAUAAGACCAAUUUCUUCUGUCAUUUUUUUUUCUCUUCAGAAGAGGAAAAAGCUGUUAGUUUGUAAUUGAGUUCUUAGUCUUAUGUUAUUUAGUUAUUAAGUUAUAAUGUUGUAUCAAAACAUGCGUGUAAUAAGUCGUGACUUUACAUUGGAGAGUUGUGUGUAUUCCAAAAGUCACAAUGUUUAGUCAAGUAAGUGUAUGUGUGUUUGUCUUAAUAAAGCAAUAAGUUUCAGUAUUAUUUAACAGACGACAUGGUAGGACAGGAGGCAUGUGGUGUUCGGGCAAGUUAUAGAAGGAAUGGAUGUGGUGAGGCUCAUAGAGGAACAAGAGACAGACAGAGGAGACCGUCCCAGAAAGAAAGUGGUCAUUGCAGACUGUGGUCAACUUCCAAUGUCCAAAGCCUAAGUAACAUUUAAAACUCAAAACCUUGUGACAAUGAGAUGGAGCUGUGUUAUGUGCAGGGGCGGACGCAGUAAGGGUUGUGCGGGGUCACGUGCCCCCGUCUCAUUCUUAAUUUUCUUUGAGCAAUUAAAGUUAAUCAAAGCCAGUGCCCCCAUCUAACUAUAAAAUAUAGUGAAAAAAAUUUAUGUGCCCCCGGUUAAAUGCAGUUCUAGAUCCGCCACUGGUUAUGUGUCUGCAUUUUUACACGCUUUCUGGAAAUGGAUUUUAGUUCAUUUGUAAUAAGACCAAUUUCUUCUGUCAUUUUUUUUUCUCUUCAGAAGAGGAAAAAGCUGUUAGUUUGUAAUUGAGUUCUUAGUCUUAUGUUAUUUAGUUAUUAAGUUAUAAUGUUGUAUCAAAACAUGCGUGUAAUAAGUCGUGACUUUACAUUGGAGAGUUGUGUGUAUUCCAAAAGUCACAAUGUUUAGUCAAGUAAGUGUAUGUGUGUUUGUCUUAAUAAAGCAAUAAGUUUCAGUAUUAUUCUGUUUUGUCUUUCUAGAAACAGAGCACCGAUUUCAAACUUAAUCUGCAGUCUUUAUAUUUCACAAAUAAAACUUUUGUUCUGUUUUGUUCAAGAAGAAACAAUUUCUUCAAACAAACGCAAUGAGUCCAAGUCUGAAUUGAGAGUUAAGUAGUUAAGCAAAACUAUACUUGGGCUUUUGCUAAUGACGCAGACAGCAGUACAGGGAGACUCUACAGAAGAAACAGAUGAAUCAAACAGGUCCAACAAGAGCAGCAAUGCAGCAUCGAUCUUCACCUUAGAUCCCUUGGAAGGGCCCGGAGAUGAAAAAGACGGCUCAGGGGAUGAAGACGAAGAACAGAAACGCUUGUUGGCGGAAGAGCUACGUCUCGUCUCAACCAUACCUAAUGUAAGCAAAUCUCUCAUCAAUCACGAAUUAAGCAAAAUAUCGUUUUCAAACUCAUAAACUAAAUACUGUAAACAUCUACAGGAAUCGGAGGAAAUUGUGUCCCUUUUCCGACAACGGAGGAAGCAUGAGUUCACUCAGAAUCAGACACAACUUUUGACUUAAGGCCCAGUUCUUUUUGAUGCCCAAAUAUUUUAAUACCAGUUUUUACAUAAAACACUACAUUGGCCAUAAGCUAUACAAAAUUAUAUUUUCUGGUCUAUCUUAUUCAGGCUUUUUGGUGCGAUGAUCAAAUCCCGUUAUAAUUUAAUAAUAAUUAACAGUAGUUGAUUAUUUAUUAAAGAAUAACAAAAACAAACUAAAACAUUUUGUUCUCAAAACUCUAUUAGUCGUUGUAUAAUAUUUAAUUUAGCUAACUUAAUUGGUUCCAAAAUUUAGCAAAAAAAUAAUAAUAAUAAUUCUUCCAAAACUGAUUCGCUAGAAUAAAAAAAAUACUUUAUUUACUGUUCUUAGAAAACUAAAAAUCAAAAGUUCAAAUUUUAAUAUAUUUUUCCUUACACUAUUUGAUUAAUAAACUAAGAAAUAACUUAGUAAUCACUACCAACCCCCAAAACCUCAAAUUUUAAACAUGAAAACGCAAAUAACACUAAUACUUGAACAAAUCAUUACGAAGAAAAAAUAUAAAAAUAACAACACCAAUGAGAUAGCUGAUCUUUAUUAUAUUAACCUAAUCAAGAUGUGUCUUCCUCAAAUUCCAUUCAUAAGCAUUAUAGACAACAUAGAAAAACAAAAAUUUACAAAGAAAAGAAGCGACAAAUUCCCUUACGACAAACCAAAACACACAUCAAUAACGUAUCCGACUCCGCGCUUGCGCGGGGACUGUGUCCCUAGUAUACUAGAAUAAUAGGGCUAUGUUAUUUAAACAUAACAAUGUAUUUACUUAUAAAAACCUGCAAAAUAAUAAAAUGAUAGAUUUUUUAAACACAACAUUAGAUUAUAAAUUAUCCUAAACAAAUAUAUUUGAGAAAAUGACUAGGAUAGCACUAAAAAAGUUUCUGUCACAAAUAUAGCUUCUAACAAUAAAAAUGACCAAAAUAGCACUUAAUGUUUUAUCAAAAGAGAUAAAUAUACACUUAUACCUCAAUGGUAAAUUAAUUUAGACAUUAGGGUUUAGAGUUUAGGGGUGAGGUUUAUGAUUUAGGGUUUAGGGUUUAGGGUUUAGAGUUUAGGGUUUAGGUUUUAGGGUUUAGAGUUGGGAAGUGGGGUUUUGGGAUAAAAUUUCAAAUUUUGAAAAAUAAAAAAAAAUUAAAUUUUUCAAAACAUAAAAUGCUAUUUUGGUCAUUUUAGUUUUUGAGGGCUAUUUUUGUGACAUAAACUUAGAAAUGUGCUAUUUUGGAGAUUUGCCCAAUAUAUUUUAUAUACUAUAGCUAUAUAAAUUUAAAAAAUGUAUUGUAUGCAAACUGUAGAAAUUAAAUAAAUUGAAAAAGAUUGUCUGAUAUGUAAUAAAAAUUAAUAACAAAGUAAAAUAUGUAAAAUUAACAAAUAACCAUAUAUUAAUAAUAUUAAUAGUGGAAUAAAAAAUAAAACAAAUAAAAUUAAAGAAUUACACAAUAUAUAACAGUAACUCUUUAAUCAAAGUUUAUAAAAUUUACAAAUGAAAAAGUAUCCGCACGAACAUUCGGGUUAAACUCUAGUUAGUUUUAAUUUUGGGGUCAAAACGAAAAUGUUAUGAGGCAUACGUUAUGAUUACUGAUAAGUAACAUUAUUAAAUCAUAGAAUAGUAAGAUUUUGGAAUAUACUGUACCGAACGAACCAUAAUACAUGUUCUUUUUAUUUUGUGGCAAUACAUAGGUGAUUCCAAAACGCAUAAAAUGACACUUUUGAAUGCAAGUUUUAUUCAACCAAUAAUAAGAUGCUUUAUGGUAAAAGCCAAAAAGAUAAUAGCAGUUCAGAUUAUCCAGGUGCUAUCAUCUUUCACCUCUGAUUCCUCCGACCAUGUUUGCUGCACAUUUUCCCACACAAACCCUUCAUUUUCCUGCAGGUUCCAAUACAUUUUUCAAUACUCACGAAACUGAAUCUACUCUUAUAGAUUUGUAUACUAGUGUACAGCUGCAUGCCCUCUUAAUCAUCUCUUACCUUUGAGGUGAAUUUGACGGUUGUUGUGCAGCAUUUCCUUUCAUUCCCUGAGAUAUUUAUCCACAAUACGAAUAUCAACAAUUAAAGAAGAGAAUGGUUCAUUUUCAUGGGUCUUGUGUAGCGUAUUAAUGCUUUUAAUUACCAGUUUGUUCCCAUUUAUCAAGUUUUACAAUCCAAGUCCCAUGAGUAGUUUCUGUUGCCAGAACCUGAUCUAUCCAAACCCGGAACUUCUUGUCUUUUUUGUCCCCAUGGUACUUCCAAAGCUCGUCAAUAGUGCCUCUGAGUGAUUUUUCAGCACCAGAUGGAUGAACAAAGACGCCAGCAGGAUCCUAAAGGAUAGCAUCAUAAUUAGCCUCUUAGAUACAUUAAGAUUUGCAGAUAAAGAAAGAGCUUGUCCUUUUCCUCCACCUUUUGGCAAAACAUCUAAAGCUAUUCCUCCACUGAAGAUUAUUUUGAUCUCCAACUGAUAACAAUACCAAGAAAACCAUAAUCAUAUAUGAUAUUAUGGAUGCAAAAUGCAGAAAGAUAUGAACAAACGAAGAUAUUUGAUAUGAUUCACCAAAUCGGUUACGUUCACCAUAAAGAGAGAUUUUCUUACUGGAGGCUCGAGAUAUUUGUAGAUACAUUGUUAAAAGAACCCAAGAUAUAUAUAAGAAUAUUCCGGUCCAGAAACACUAACACUAACAUACUAGCGGGUCUAGGGUCAAAAAGAAUGACUAAACUAAAAAUCGUUGACCUUAUAGGAAAGAUCACCAGCAAAUUACUGUAAGAGAUUCCUCCUAUAAUCGAAGUAUAUCAGCAAUAUAAAUAACAAGUAAGCAAACAAGAUUAAUCAAUCUUAUUACCCCGCGUUUCUCCAACCGUUGAUAUAGCUCCUUGGUCACUUCCUUGACUUUACUUUUGUCAACGUGAAAGCUAAGCUUGUGAGGCAUCUGCUCAGUUUCUGCCUGCAAGGAUUUAUCAGAAUAUUGUCAUACAAAAUCAUUGCUAGGUAGAGACUUUUGUUUGUGUGUUGAAGCUGAAAGUAAGUAACCUGAAGAGUUAACUCAGGGAACUUGCGGGUUUCUUCUUCGACGAUUCCUCGGUUCCAUUUAUUGUUCAUGAUCUCAACCCAGUUCUCAUCGGGAACCAUUGAUUUACCAUAUGAUAUCUCAGUUCCUACAGAGGUAACGAUAACAUCAGGAGUUAACAGUGGUCUCGCUUUCCUCAGUUUCUUGUACAUUGUUUUUGCUCUUCCCGUUGAGAAAACAAGAAGAGAGUCAUGGCGAUAAGCUUCCUCCCACAAUGAAUUGAACCUCAACAAAGAGUGAUUUUCA
RNAcentral lists this long non-coding RNA (31572 nucleotides) under Brassica napus (rape). RNAcentral describes it as "long non-coding RNA (BNAP_LNC020325)". The record is from RNAcentral. Lineage: Eukaryota; Viridiplantae; Streptophyta; Magnoliopsida; Brassicales; Brassicaceae.